GACAUAGGGCGCAAGCGUUGUCCGGAUUUAUUGGGCGUAAAGAGCUCGUAGGCGGCCUGUCGCGUCGACCGUGAAAACCCGCAGCUCAACUGCGGGCUUGCGGUCGAUACGGGCAGGCUGGAGUUCGGUAGGGGAGACUGGAAUUCCUGGUGUAGCGGUGAAUGACUGCGAGAUAUCAGGAGGGAACACCGGUGGCGAAGGCGGGUCUCUGGGCCGAUACUGACGCUGAGGAGCGAAAGCGUGGGGAGCGAACAGG
RNAcentral lists this ribosomal RNA (256 nucleotides) under uncultured bacterium. RNAcentral's name for it is "partial 16S ribosomal RNA". It matches the Rfam family "Bacterial small subunit ribosomal RNA", at positions 524 to 776 of the family's 1533-position model. The record is from RNAcentral.